Molecule: ribosomal RNA, 253 nt
Filed under: uncultured bacterium
Lineage: Bacteria
Description: partial 16S ribosomal RNA
Rfam family: Bacterial small subunit ribosomal RNA
Source: RNAcentral
UACGAAGGGGGCUAGCGUUGCUCGGAAUCACUGGGCGUAAAGCGCACGUAGGCGGAUCUUUAAGUCAGGGGUGAAAUCCUGGAGCUCAACUCCAGAACUACCUUUGAUACUGGGGAUCUCGAGUCCGGAAGAGGUGAGUGGAACUCCGAGUGUAGAGGUGAAAUUCGUAGAUAUUCGCAAGAACACCAGUGGCGAAGGCGGCUCACUGGCCCGGUACUGACGCUGAGGUGCGAAAGCGUGGGGAGCAAACAGG